Molecule: ribosomal RNA, 325 nt
Filed under: uncultured bacterium
Lineage: Bacteria
Description: bacterial SSU rRNA
Rfam family: Bacterial small subunit ribosomal RNA
Source: RNAcentral
GAUGAACGCUGGCGGCGUGCUUAACACAUGCAAGUCGAGCGAAGCACUCUGUUUGAUUUUUUCGGAAUGAAAACAGUUUGACUGAGCGGCGGACGGGUGAGUAACGCGUGGGGAACCUGCCUUACACAGGGGGAUAACAGUUAGAAAUGGCUGCUAAUACCGCAUAACCCGCUGGGGUCGCAUGACCCUGACGGAAAAGAUUGUAUCGGUGUAAGAUGGACCCGCGUCUGAUUAGCUGGUUGGUGAGGUAACGGCUCACCAAGGCGACGAUCAGUAGCCGACCUGAGAGGGUGAUCGGCCACAUUGGGACUGAGACACGGCCCAA